This 74-nucleotide transfer RNA is filed under the name Gemmatimonadota bacterium. RNAcentral describes it as "tRNA-Thr". It matches the Rfam family "tRNA". From Rfam's summary of the family: Transfer RNA (tRNA) molecules are approximately 80 nucleotides in length. Their secondary structure includes four short double-helical elements and three loops (D, anti-codon, and T loops). Lineage: Bacteria; Pseudomonadati; Gemmatimonadota. The record is from RNAcentral.
GCUGACGUAGCUCAAUUGGCAGAGCACCUGAUUUGUAAUCAGGAGGUCGCGAGUUCGAUUCUCGCCGUCAGCUC